AUACGUAGGGGGCGAGCGUUGUCCGGAAUUAUUGGGCGUAAAGGGUUCGCAGGCGGUCUGAUAAGUCAGAUGUGAAAGGCAAUGGCUCAACCAUUGUAAGCAUUUGAAACUGUCAGACUUGAGUUAAGGAGAGGAAAGUGGAAUUCCUAGUGUAGCGGUGAAAUGCGUAGAUAUUAGGAGGAAUACCAGUGGCGAAGGCGACUUUCUGGACUUAUACUGACGCUGAGGAACGAAAGCGGGGGGAGCAAACAGGAUUAGAUACCCUGGUAGUCCACGCCGUAAACGAUGAGUGCUAGGUGUUGGGGGUCAAACCUCGGUGCCGCAGCUAACGCAUUAAGCACUCCGCCUGGGGAGUACGUACGCAAGUAUGAAACUCAAAGGAAUUGACGGGG
This 392-nucleotide ribosomal RNA is filed under the name uncultured bacterium. Its description in RNAcentral is "partial 16S ribosomal RNA". It matches the Rfam family "Bacterial small subunit ribosomal RNA", at positions 523 to 918 of the family's 1533-position model. The record is from RNAcentral.